UAAAAAUAUCUAGAAUGGUGCUGAAUGCCGUAUUCAUUUGGGGACAAUAAUCUCAAUUAGAGGGACACUCUGUAGUGGGAUUGUGUUUAAGUUCAUUUCAAGCUUAACUGGUGCCCUACCACUUCCUUUCAAAUGCCUGUGACAUUACAAAUCUUUCUACAGUAUGUUGAAGGAGUUGACGUUCUCCUUGCUGAGCCAACUUGUGGGGGAUUAAUCUAAGAGGACGAGGCUAAGGGGCCAACGUUGAAUAUUUAGAUGUUGAUGGGGGCUACAGUGGGAGGCCAGGUCAAGAACGCAGAGGAGCAGCUCCAGGUUGCUAGGCCAUGGGCAAAACGAGACGAAGUGGGAGUUGGGGAGGGUUUCCUUAGGGCCCAGAGUCACAAAUAGAAGGCACUCAGGGGAAGAUAGAGAGCGGAGAUGUCUCUGGCACCAGUACCAUCCUCUUCACCUAAGGGGGUUGCACGGUGAUUGUUAGUCUUUGGCUUUCUACUUCCUUUUAAAACCCUGGCACUCUGGUAUGUGAGCACAGGAAGCUGGAUACAGCCACAGGCCUUGGGACACCCACCAGGAUAAUUCUGAACCUCAUAGUCCUGUGUGAAAAAACUUUACAUAUAUUUAGGAUGUCAAUAACCUGUGAAGUACUACCAUGUACCUAAAAAUGGUGGUAAAAUAUUGCAUGAGGUAGAAAAUCAAGGAAAGAGACAGAAUGAAAAUUGGGGUUAUUGGCAUCCAAGUUAUGGAAAGUUCCAUGUAAUAGUGUUUAAUCCUAUUUUCCAGUCAGCAUCUUGGACAUGGUGAUGAUGUUAACCAACACCAGGAAGUUCUUCUCGCAGAUCAUCCCCUGGAUCUGAGAAAAUGCUGCUCUUGGGUGACAGAAGUAGAUGAUAUGGAUCUUGCUUCUUUGUGUGACUUCGGAGGGUCUACAGGACAUGGUUAGAGGAGUUUGGCUUCCUGGGCUACGUUGUUCCUGGCUGGUCACUGACAUGGAAACCCCAAACCAUCUCUCCAGUUUGAGGAAAUAUUGUUCCGUGGGGUAAGUAUUCGGUCAAGAAGAUUCUUAAGGUCCCUUCCACGUCUUGCUAUUGAGGAUUCUAAAACCCAACUGCCACGGCAUUUAGUACUAUUCCUCCCUGCUCCCUGACACCAAAAUAGGCAUUCAAUAAAUAUUUGUGGAAUAAAUGAGUGAGUGAAAAA
This 1194-nucleotide long non-coding RNA is filed under the name Vulpes vulpes (red fox). RNAcentral's name for it is "lncRNA (ENSVVUG00000019728.1)". Lineage: Eukaryota; Metazoa; Chordata; Mammalia; Carnivora; Canidae. The record is from RNAcentral.